This 620-nucleotide ribosomal RNA is filed under the name uncultured bacterium. Its description in RNAcentral is "bacterial SSU rRNA". It matches the Rfam family "Bacterial small subunit ribosomal RNA", at positions 68 to 683 of the family's 1533-position model. The record is from RNAcentral.
GGUAGCAGGAAGUGCUUGCACUUUGCUGACGAGUGGCGGACGGGUGAGUAAUACUUAGGAACAUGCCUUUGUGUGGGGGAUAACCAUUGGAAACGAUGGCUAAUACCGCAUAAUGUCUUUGGACCAAAGAGGGCUUUCGGGCUCUCGCGCAAAGAGUGGCCUAAGUGAGAUUAGCUUGUUGGUGAGGUAAAGGCUCACCAAGGCGACGAUCUCUAGCUGUUCUGAGAGGAAGAUCAGCCACACUGGGACUGAGACACGGCCCAGACUCCUACGGGAGGCAGCAGUGGGGAAUAUUGCACAAUGGGGGAAACCCUGAUGCAGCCAUGCCGCGUGUGUGAAGAAGGCCUUCGGGUUGUAAAGCACUUUCAGUUGUGAGGAAAGGUUAGUGGUUAAUACCCAUUAGCUGUGACGUUAGCAACAGAAGAAGGACCGGCUAACUCCGUGCCAGCAGCCGCGGUAAUACGGAGGGUCCGAGCGUUAAUCGGAAUUACUGGGCGUAAAGCGCACGCAGGCGGUUUGUUAAGCUAGAUGUGAAAGCCCUGGGCUCAACCUGGGAAUUGCAUUUAGAACUGGCAGGCUAGAGUUUUGGAGAGGGGAGUGGAAUUCCAGGUGUAGCGGUG